This 783-nucleotide ribosomal RNA is filed under the name uncultured archaeon. RNAcentral describes it as "bacterial SSU rRNA". It matches the Rfam family "Archaeal small subunit ribosomal RNA", at positions 19 to 778 of the family's 1478-position model. The record is from RNAcentral.
GGACCCCACUGCUAUCGGGAUGGGACUAAGACAUGUUAGUUGUGCGUCUCUAAGCCAUGGUGAGACGCAGCGCACAGCUCAGUAACACGUGGCUAACCUGCCCUUGAGACGGGGAUAACCACGGGAAACUGUGGCUAAUCCCCGAUAGACGAGGACUCCUGGAAUGGAUCUUUGUUGAAAUGGUGUCUAGGGCAUGCUUCUAGGCACUGCUCAAGGAUGGAGCCGCGGCCGAUCAGGUUGUUGGUGAGGUAACGGCUCACCAAGCCUUUAGCCGGUACGGGCCGUGGGAGCGGUAGCCCGGAGAUGGGCACUGAGAUAAGGGCCCAGGCCCUACGGGGCGCAGCAGUCGCGUAAACUCCGCAAUACACGAAAGUGUGACGGGGCUAUCCCGAGUGUCGUCCGCUGANGAUGACUUUUCCACGCUGUAAGGAGGCGUGGGAAUAAGGAGAGGGCAAGACUGGUGUCAGCCGCCGCGGUAAUACCAGCUCUUCGAGUGGUGGGGAUGUUUAUUGGGCUUAAAGCAUUCGUAGCUUGUUCGGUAAGUCCUCCGUUAAAUCCAGCGAUUCAAUCGUUGGACUGCGGGGGAUACUGCUGGGCUAGGGGGCGGGAGAGGCCGACGGUAUCCUCGGGGUAGGGGUGAAAUCCUAUAAUCCCGGGUAGACCACCAGUGGCGAANGCUGUCGGCUAGAACGCGCCCGACGGUGAGGGAUGAAAGCUGGGGGAGCGAACCGGANUAGAUACCCGGGUAGUCCCAGCUGUAAACUAUGCAGGCUAGGUGUUGGA